GAUGAACGCUGGCGGCGUGCCUAAUACAUGCAAGUCGAGCGAACAGACGAGGAGCUUGCUCCUCUGACGUUAGCGGCGGACGGGUGAGUAACACGUGGAUAACCUACCUAUAAGACUGGGAUAACUUCGGGAAACCGGAGCUAAUACCGGAUAAUAUAUUGAACCGCAUGGUUCAAUAGUGAAAGACGGUUUUGCUGUCACUUAUAGAUGGAUCCGCGCCGCAUUAGCUAGUUGGUAAGGUAACGGCUUACCAAGGCAACGAUGCGUAGCCGACCUGAGAGGGGGGUCGGCCCAACCUGAACUGGGACCAGGUUCCGGCCCCCAAGGGAGGGCACCGUUGGGGAUCUUUCGGAAUGGGCGGAAGCCUGGCCGGGCAACGGCGCGUUGGUUAAUGAAGUCUUCGGGACGGAAAACCUCGUUUAUAGGGGAAAACAAAUUUUGAAGGUACCAAGCCCGGCUUGGCGGUACCCAAUCAGAAAGCCACGGCUAACUACGUG
RNAcentral lists this ribosomal RNA (497 nucleotides) under uncultured bacterium. RNAcentral describes it as "partial 16S ribosomal RNA". It matches the Rfam family "Bacterial small subunit ribosomal RNA", at positions 28 to 507 of the family's 1533-position model. The record is from RNAcentral.